This 72-nucleotide transfer RNA is filed under the name Marmota monax (woodchuck). Its description in RNAcentral is "tRNA.Thr". The record is from RNAcentral. Lineage: Eukaryota; Metazoa; Chordata; Mammalia; Rodentia; Sciuridae.
GGGGUUGUAGCACAGUGGUAGUGUUCUUACCUAGUAUGUGUGAGGCACUGUGUUCACUCCUCAGCCACCACA